Molecule: long non-coding RNA, 330 nt
Filed under: Lupinus angustifolius (narrow-leaved blue lupine)
Lineage: Eukaryota; Viridiplantae; Streptophyta; Magnoliopsida; Fabales; Fabaceae
Description: long non-coding RNA (LANG_LNC002684)
Source: RNAcentral
AUUUGUUUCUCUCACCACAUCUCUUCACUCAUCAAAGUCAUCUCAAUCUUUUCUAUGUUACUGAAAGUCUUCUAUUUUCUUUAUUCUUUCAAACACAUCAAACUCAUCCCUCUCUUAUCUUUUUCCUUCAUUGAAAUCCCAACACUCUUCUCUUCUCUUCUUUCUUCAUCAAAAUCGCAUAUCUCUCUUCCCGUUCUCUAUUUUUUCCAGAAUCUGAGACUCACAAUUUCUUUUUCCUACAUUUUGUGCAUGUAUGAUUUUUUUCUCAACAAAUCAUUGAGUUCUUUCUUCAUGGGUUCUCAUUCACGAGUUCUUUCUUCAUGGUUUCUC